AGAGUUUGAUCCUGGCUCAGGAUGAACGCUAGCGACAGGCUUAACACAUGCAAGUCGAGGGGCAGCGGGGGCGAAGCUUGCUUCGCCUGCCGGCGACCGGCGCACGGGUGAGUAACACGUAUGCGACCUGCCCCCCGCAGGGGGAUAACCGGGAGAAAUCCCGACUAAUACCGCGUAACGCCGCGGGGCUGCAUGGCCCCGCGGCCAAAGGAAGCGAUUCCGGCGGGGGAUGGGCAUGCGGCGCAUUAGCUAGUCGGCGGGGUAACGGCCCACCGAGGCGACGAUGCGUAGGGGUUCUGAGAGGAAGGUCCCCCACACUGGUACUGAGACACGGACCAGACUCCUACGGGAGGCAGCAGUGAGGAAUAUUGGUCAAUGGGCGGGAGCCUGAACCAGCCAAGUCGCGUGAGGGAAGACGGUCCUACGGAUUGUAAACCUCUUUUGCCGGGGAGCAACGGGGUCCUUGCGAGGGCCCGAUGAGAGUACCCGGAGAAAAAGCAUCGGCUAACUCCGUGCCAGCAGCCGCGGUAAUACGGAGGAUGCGAGCGUUAUCCGGAUUUAUUGGGUUUAAAGGGUGCGUAGGCGGGCUGUUAAGUCAGCGGUCAAAUGUCGGGGCUCAACCCCGGCCUGCCGUUGAAACUGGCGGCCUCGAGUGGGCGAGAAGUAUGCGGAAUGCGUGGUGUAGCGGUGAAAUGCAUAGAUAUCACGCAGAACUCCGAUUGCGAAGGCAGCAUACCGGCGCCCGACUGACGCUGAGGCACGAAAGCGUGGGUAUCGAACAGGAUUAGAUACCCUGGUAGUCCACGCAGUAAACGAUGAAUGCUAGCUGUCCGGUUCUACGGGACUGGGUGGCACAGCGAAAGCGUUAAGCAUUCCACCUGGGGAGUACGCCGGCAACGGUGAAACUCAAAGGAAUUGACGGGGGCCCGCACAAGCGGAGGAACAUGUGGUUUAAUUCGAUGAUACGCGAGGAACCUUACCCGGGCUCAAACGCCAAAGGACAGCCGCUGAAAGGCGGCCUCCCUCCGGGGUCUUUGGCGAGGUGCUGCAUGGUUGUCGUCAGCUCGUGCCGUGAGGUGUCGGCUUAAGUGCCAUAACGAGCGCAACCCCCAUCGACAGUUGCUAACGGGUGGAGCCGAGGACUCUGUCGAGACUGCCGGCGCAAGCUGCGAGGAAGGCGGGGAUGACGUCAAAUCAGCACGGCCCUUACGUCCGGGGCGACACACGUGUUACAAUGGCCGGUACAGCGGGAUGCCAGGGCGCGAGUCCGAGCGGAACCCGAAAACCGGUCUCAGUUCGGAUUGGAGUCUGCAACCCGACUCCAUGAAGCUGGAUUCGCUAGUAAUCGCGCAUCAGCCACGGCGCGGUGAAUACGUUCCCGGGCCUUGUACACACCGCCCGUCAAG
This 1406-nucleotide ribosomal RNA is filed under the name uncultured bacterium. RNAcentral describes it as "bacterial SSU rRNA". It matches the Rfam family "Bacterial small subunit ribosomal RNA". The record is from RNAcentral.